GGAUGUGAGGGGGACCAAGAUGCACUAUCUAUCACCUCAUUGAUCUCCAGUGUUUAUUUAGUUGUUCUAACUGGCUAUGCAAGUGACCCCCUUCCUGCUCUUGGCCAAAGAGGUUGAUGUGCCAAUAUAGAGGUCUUCAGUCACCGUUAUACAAGAAACUGUGUUCCCUGCUAGAACCUCCAAAUGAGCUCUCAUCUCAUCAGAUGUAACAGAAUCUUCCAUUUAUUUUAUGUGAUAGCUUGAAU
Molecule: small nuclear RNA, 245 nt
Filed under: Meriones unguiculatus (Mongolian gerbil)
Lineage: Eukaryota; Metazoa; Chordata; Mammalia; Rodentia; Muridae
Description: 7SK RNA (ENSMUGG00000023722.1)
Rfam family: 7SK RNA
About the family: 7SK was discovered as an abundant small nuclear RNA in the mid-70s but a possible function has only recently been suggested. Two independent studies have found that 7SK RNA binds the CDK9/cyclin T complex (known as elongation factor P-TEFb).
Source: RNAcentral